UCCCUCUUAGCUCAGUUGGUAGAGCGCGUCACUAGUAUAAAAAACCACUGGUGUGUAUAUGACGAGGUCAGUCGUUCGAGUCGGCUAGAGGGAA
This is a non-coding RNA of Marasmius oreades (fairy-ring Marasmius), 94 nucleotides long. Lineage: Eukaryota; Fungi; Basidiomycota; Agaricomycetes; Agaricales; Marasmiaceae. The record is from the annotation of a RefSeq genome assembly.